CAAAGUAUGUUACAAGUCUAUUUUUUUUAAAACGAUAGAAGUAAGACACAUAGAAUUAUCGUUUUAAAACGCUGCAUUUGCGCAAUGUUCCCACGUAUGCAUGUUACAUGCAAAUUCACGUUUACGUCCAAAAUUAUGCUAUUAUGCAACCAUGUAGUUUUUAUAGAAAGAUCAUGCAUGCAAUAUAGGUAGAAUGAGCAUUAUUCUUUUAUGACCUUAUGUGUAAUUAAGCAUAUUUGUAUGUUGUGUGUAACUCCUACCAUGUGUGCAUGGCCCAUGCACACAUGAGUUAUAUGAGAGGGAAAAAUAGUAAUUAUGUUAAGCUAAGGAAUGUCGUUUUGAUUAUGGUAUAGGCUCGUUGAGAAGUUGUUGUUUUACUUAGCUUGGACCUGAGGUAAGGAAGUUAGAUGGAAUUUAUGAUUGUUAUAUUAUGAAUGGUAAGACUGUUGUGUGAAUGAAAUGUUAUGAAUUAUGAAUGCCAUAAUGUGAUGAUAUGUUGGCUUGUAUGAACGUUGUAUGAUAUGAAUGGAUGUUAGCGUGAUGAACGCGACACAUCGAAAUGGGUUGCUAAGGAUAAGAAGACGUAACCCGAGUUACUAAGGAUAUGAAGACGUAACUCCAUGGGCGAACGCGCCGAGGUUAUUCAAGGACCAGAGACUCUUGUUUACCUCAAAGGGUGGCAUGGACAAGUUAGCGGGCCAUGUUCACAAGGAAUUGCUUAUGAUUUUGUUAUGAUGUUUAUGAUAUGAUGGUCGCAUUAUCUUCACGUGAAUAUGUUUAUGUUUCUGAUAUUGAUGCCAAUUUUAUGAUGAUGCUAUGAUGUAUAAAGAUGAAUGAUAGUGUUUGUAAUUUGUUGUAUCUUACUUGCUUGUUGUUUGUACUUCCUUACUGGGCUUUUAGCUUACUCCCCUUACUUUCCCUUCUAGGUAGCAAAUAGGUUUCUCUAUGGCACGCAUGGUGAUGUGGGGAGUUCUAUUGUCGUUGUGUGUAUGGCGUGGGGGAAUUCUAUGGACGGAAAACGAUCAAUUAAAAACGCCAUUUUUAAUAAUGUUAUGUUUUAUGAGACUUUUUAAACUUAUCAGUGGGACUUGAAUUAUUGGUUGUUUUUGAACUUUGCAUAAAAACUGAUAUUUUCUUUUAAAACUAUUGGGCACAACUUGCAUGUUUUAAGCAAGACCCCACUGAAACCUUUAUAAUAAGUGGCUUUCUUUUAUAAACCAUUGAAAAUGUGAAUGUUUUACAAAGUACUAGAGUAGGGCGUUUUACAGUAUGUGCUUAUGUUUUGGUGUUUUUAAAUCCUUAGUCAUGAAUCUUCUUCUUCUUGAAAAUAUAAGAAAUAAUUUGUGGUUUUUCUUUCUUGUUCUUGUGAUGUUCGAAAUCCCUAGGGAAGUGAUCAAGGGUGGCGGCCGAAUUGAGUUUUUGAACUCUAUCAAAGGAGGUAAUAAAUAGGAUUUCUCUUUGGCAUGCAUGGUGAUGUGGGGAGUUCUAACGGCACGUGUAACAACCCAAAAUAUCUAACAAGGCUUAAGGGCAUUGAUUAACGUGCCGGGAGGGCAUAAUUGGUAAAGGCAAGGGUAAGCUAGACCAACCAUGAGUUGGAGAGCUCUGGGGGAAAGGUGUACAUUGUCAGCUGCUCGUCCACAAUGGCUGAGGGAAAGUACAGGGAUAGAAGCAUAAAACUUGUAUUUUUCCAUUAGAGUGGCCACUGAUUGUAUAUAACUUUUGGGGAGUUUAUAAAUUGUCUUUUAAACCCUUUUUUUGGGUUCCCAUGUACCAAACAUCUAUAUUAAUGAAAAAUAAUCAUUUAUGAUCAAUCUUUUAACCCUAAUCUGAUUAUGACUUUAAGAACACAUUUUUAUUCAUAUGACUUGAUUAGAAAGUCUUGC
Long non-coding RNA from Humulus lupulus (European hop), 1886 nucleotides. RefSeq lists it as uncharacterized. The record is from RefSeq and is a predicted model, not a curated record. The transcript is spliced from 3 exons. Lineage: Eukaryota; Viridiplantae; Streptophyta; Magnoliopsida; Rosales; Cannabaceae.